Peromyscus californicus insignis is the source of this 1827-nucleotide long non-coding RNA. RefSeq lists it as uncharacterized. The transcript is spliced from 7 exons. NCBI's taxonomy places the organism in Eukaryota, Metazoa, Chordata, Mammalia, Rodentia, Cricetidae. The record is from RefSeq and is a predicted model, not a curated record.
UCAAAGAUGGACUACAGUGUGGAAGUGUAAGCCAGAUAAACCCUUCCCUCCCCAUGGAGGAAUGGUGUUUCAUCACAGCAAUAGAAACCCUAACUAAGGCAAAGUCUAGUGCCAGCUCUUGUGACAAAUAAAACAACGUGGCUGGUAGGUCGCCUCCCACUGUAGAAUCUGAGCCCUGGGAAGUGCAGAAUGGAUAUGAGCACUGCAGCUGCAGGGCAGGAAGCCCAGAACACAGGACACAGCACAGAGAAGAGCCCUGUGCUGUCCUCAGUAGCAGCCAGUGUUUACCAGCUUUUGCCACCUGCUAGCUGCUGUCAGGCGGUUUGUGUGUGGCUGUGGAAUGGCUUUCUUUCCGGCUCCAUUCCCUUCCAGAGAGUGCACGAGUCAGACAACAUAGCAUUUACCUUGGCAGUGUUGAUGGCAGCCCCGUAGCCUGAUGAGAACCCACAUCCAAUCAGACAAACUCUCUCCAAGUUUGCGUCAUCAUCGACUCUGGCAAGAUUGGCUUCUGAAACUACAGUGUACUGAGAGAAUGAACUGACUCCCAUGAAAUGAUUUGCAGAGGGGCUAAGAAAAUGAGAAGAAAUGGAAAACAUUUUGAAGAGCAGAGACUGAUUUUGUCACUUGUCAUAAUACAUAGUAUACAUGUGCUUGUAACCUGAGUAAUCAUUAAUUCUUAGAGAAUGUAUGAUAUAAAACUACAUGGAAGUAAAGAGAGGUCAGUUUACUAGGCCACAGCAAGAAACUGGACAGACACAUCUGAGCUGCCUGGAAGCAAGGUUGGAGAAAAAAUGGGCUGACUCACAAGCUUCGAGGAAACUGAACAGAGUAAGAUGCAGUUCUCAGGGUAAUGAAAUAGGUAAUUCUGCUGUUGCCUUCAGACGUCAGAUGUGUCCCUGACAGUCUUUUUAUAGGUGAAAGGAAACAAACUUUAUGUUGUAUCAAAAAGCUUGAAUCUCUUCAUGUGAAACUGAAUUAGACUUUUAAAAAGAUAGUUAUAAAGACUUACCUAGCUUCCUUACAAAUAUUGUUCUUGGAAUUGAGGCAAGUGUUACAUUCUCCACAUUGUGGUAGACAUAAGAUGAUGACUUUAUCACCUAAAAAGCAAAGUAACUAUUAGGGUGUUAAUGUUGAGUAGUCUGAUUUCUUAGGUUGUCAAUAGCAAGGCACCAAGAAGAUGUGAUAAUGAAGAACUAUUUAUUUGUUUAAUUGUGCUUGAUCACAAACAUAUUUGCAGCAUCCUAUCCAGUCCAAGGCCAUGGCUGAAUACUUAGGAGCUGGCUCCAGAUAUGCCCACCUUGUAUGACACUUUUGGAAUACCCAGGCAAAAAAUUUAGUUGUGUGCCAUUGUGGUGGUUUGAAACAAAAUGGCCUCCAAAGAGAGUGGCUCUAUUAGGAGGUGUGGCCUUAUUGGAAUAGGUUUCAUUUUGUUGGAGGAUAUGUGUCACUGUGGAGGUGGACUUUGAAGUCUCGUGCUCCAUUCACGGCCAGUGAGACAGACCACUUUCUGUUGCCUGCAAGUCAAGAUGUAGGAUACUCAGCUACUUCUCCAGCACCAUAUCUGCCUACAUGUUGCACCAUGAUGAUAAUGGACUAAACCUCUGGAAAUGUAAGCUACCCCAAUUAAAUGUUUUUCCUUUAUAAGAGUUGUCAUGGUGUCUCUUCACAGCAUUAGAAAUCAUAACUAAGACAGCCUUCAACUACAUGUUAUGUCCUCUGCAUUAACUUCCACUGUGGGGCUAGAGUCAAAAUAGAUACAGUGCUCAAAGAAUGAGGCCCAGAACUGGGGGAAGAUUGACCACAAGUUGUGCUCUGUGUUGUACUUCC